ACAGUGAAGAUGGAGAAAUAUUCAAUAAUGAAGAGCAUGAAUAUGCAUCCAAAAAAAGGAAAAAGGACCAUUUUAGAAAUGACACAAAUACUCAAACUGAUAUUCCACACGAUGGUGUAGCAGACACUUUCCAAGGUCACCACCCAUCUCGCAAAAGGAAAUUAAAUCUGAUUCACAGAGCAGACCACAAAGAGCAUGUCUGGACCUAGAACCACAGCAGGUAACCUCGGAAGCAGUGAGACACCAGCCAGCAUGGACAAGCAGCAGGCACUUGCUCUAUACCAGUGGCAUGGCUAUUGCACCUUGGGAGAAGCCUUUAAUCGGUUAGACUUCUCAAGUGCAAUUCAAGAUAUCCGAAGGUUCAAUUAUGUGGUCAAAGUGCUGUUGUAGGAGCAAGGGAUACAAUGAUGAUCAAGGCAGAUGCAGCCGUUACCUUCAGGUCGUGGAGUCCGGAUACAGACUGGAGGCAGGCAGCUGUAAGAUGUGUGACAAAUGCUGCGCUGGAUCAGCCCAUGGUAUUAGGAGAGCAGGUAAGGAAGGGUGGGGACGGGAGCGGACAACCUGGAGGAAGAGGCACCUAAGCAGAGUCCAGAAGGCUGAGGAGGAGUCAGCAGGUGAAAGAGAGGGGAAUCAUGGCAUACCAUCUCAACUGUAGGGCACGGCUAGCUGGCUGACUUAGCUGCUGUAACACCGGAUUUUUGCAAGACUCCCUGAGUAUUUCUCGUGGAUUUGCGAACAAAUCUGAGCAAGAAAACCAUGUAAUUUCUUUUAUGCCCUGCCCAAGAAAGCCACCUGGAGGGGCA
RNAcentral lists this long non-coding RNA (803 nucleotides) under Pan troglodytes (chimpanzee). Its description in RNAcentral is "long non-coding RNA NONPTRT008804". Lineage: Eukaryota; Metazoa; Chordata; Mammalia; Primates; Hominidae. The record is from RNAcentral.